This 492-nucleotide ribosomal RNA is filed under the name uncultured bacterium. RNAcentral describes it as "partial 16S ribosomal RNA". It matches the Rfam family "Bacterial small subunit ribosomal RNA", at positions 29 to 507 of the family's 1533-position model. The record is from RNAcentral.
AGUGAACGCUGGCGGUAGGCCUAACACAUGCAAGUCGAACGGCAGCACAGUAAGAGCUUGCUCUUACGGGUGGCGAGUGGCGGACGUGUGAGGAAUACAUCGGAAUCUACUUUUUCGUGGGGGAUAACGUAGGGAAACUUACGCUAAUACCGCAUACGACCUACGGGUGAAAGCAGUGGAUCUUCGGACCUUGCGCGAUUGAAUGAGCCGAUGUGGGAUUAGCUAGUUGGCGGGGUAAAGGCCCACCAAGGCGACGAUCCGUAGCUGGUCUGAGAGGAUGAUCAGCCACACUGGAACUGAGACACGGUCCAGACUCCUACGGGAGGGAGCAGUGUGGAAUAUUGGACAAUGGGGGCAAGCAUGAUCCAGCCAUACCGCGUGGGUGAAGAAGGCCUUCGGGUUGUAAAGCCGUUUUGUUGGGAAAGAAAAGCAGCAGGUUAAGACCCCGCUGUUCUGACGGUACCCAAAGAAUAAGCACCGGCUAACUUCGUG